Molecule: long non-coding RNA, 273 nt
Filed under: Gallus gallus (chicken)
Lineage: Eukaryota; Metazoa; Chordata; Aves; Galliformes; Phasianidae
Source: RNAcentral
GGCUGACCAGAUCUGGAAGGAGUACUUCAUCUUGUGGAUGGACACCCGCUGCACCUGCACCCCCAGAUCACUCUCGAGGUGCUCCACCACCUUCUUCUGGGCUUGCAGGAUCUCUUUUUCCACGGGGUACACAAACAUGGAGCCCCCAUCGUGGUCCAUGCAGAGGAACUUGAUUUUCUCCAGCGACACAUUUUCAUCCAGCUUCAGCUUGUGCACCUCAGGGCCAGCCAUGACCCGCAGCAUCGGCUCCAGGUCCUCAGCGUAGCGGCACAU